Molecule: unclassified non-coding RNA, 342 nt
Filed under: soil metagenome
Description: partial contains 5.8S ribosomal RNA, internal transcribed spacer 2, and large subunit ribosomal RNA
Rfam family: 5.8S ribosomal RNA (bases 1-121)
Source: RNAcentral
GAUGAAGAACGUAGUGAAAUGCGAUAAGUAGUGUGAAUUGCAGAAUUCAGCGAAUCAUCGAAUCUUUGAACGCACAUUGCGCCCUUCGGUUAUUCCUUAGGGCAUGCCUGUUCGAGCGUCAUUUCAACCUUCAAGCCUGGCUUGGUGUUGGGCGCUGUCCCGCCUCCGCGCGCGGACUCGCCCCAAAUGAAUUGGCAGUCGCACCCUCCGAGCCGCGAGCGCAGCACAAGUCGCGCGGGCGGAACUCUGGGGGGACGGACGCUCCACAAGACCCUUUCUCAGUCUUGACCUCGGAUCAGGUAGGGAUACCCGCUGAACUUAAGCAUAUCAAUAAGCGGAGGA